This 619-nucleotide ribosomal RNA is filed under the name uncultured Verrucomicrobiota bacterium. RNAcentral's name for it is "bacterial SSU rRNA". It matches the Rfam family "Bacterial small subunit ribosomal RNA", at positions 56 to 669 of the family's 1533-position model. The record is from RNAcentral. Lineage: Bacteria; Pseudomonadati; Verrucomicrobiota.
UGCAAGUCGCACGGGAUCAUUUUUGUAGUAAUACUGGAAUGAUUUAGUGGCGCACGGGUGAGUAACACGUGAAUGACAUGCCCUUCAGAGGGGGAUAGCCCAGGGAAACUUGGAUUAAUACCCCAUGGUCUCGCAAGAGUAAAGGUGGCGCAAGCUGCCGCUGAGGGAUUGGUUCGCGCCCUAUCAGCUAGUUGGUGAGGUAACGGCUCACCAAGGCGAUAACGGGUACUUGGUCUGAGAGGACGAUCAGGCACACUGGAACUGAGACACGGUCCAGACACCUACGGGUGGCAGCAGUCGAGAAUAAUUCACAAUGGGGGCAACCCUGAUGGUGCAACGCCGCGUGGAGGAUGAAGGUCUUCGGAUUGUAAACUCCUGUCAUCCGGGAGAAAGACCUGGCUGUGAAUAGCAGACAGGGUUGAUAGUACCGGAAGAGGAAGGGACGGCUAACUUCGUGCCAGCAGCCGCGGUAAUACGAAGGUCCCGAGCGUUGUUCGGAAUCACUGGGCGUAAAGGGAGCGUAGGCGGUUUGGUAAGUCAGAUGUGAAAUCCCGGGGCUCAACCCCGGAACUGCAUCCGAUACUGCCAGACUUGAGCAAUGGAGAGGUAGCUGGAAUUA